RNAcentral lists this long non-coding RNA (633 nucleotides) under Vigna radiata. RNAcentral describes it as "long non-coding RNA (VRAD_LNC002009)". Lineage: Eukaryota; Viridiplantae; Streptophyta; Magnoliopsida; Fabales; Fabaceae. The record is from RNAcentral.
AGUUCUUUAUCUUAAAAUUAUAUGUUUUAAAUAUCGUAUUAUGUAUGUUUGAAUAAAUCCUUAAUUUUAAAAUAUAUUUAGCUCAUAUGCAUACAUGCUUUUAUUAAGAGGGAGUAUUAUCUUAGGGGGAGAACAUGAAACACANCUUUUUAAUUAUGAUCAAACAGGGGGAGAAAAUGUAUAAAACUUAUUAUUAUUCUCUAAUGCUCUUUUCUUCCAUAAGUGGUGUUUUUAUCCAGAUUAUUACAAAAAGCUUUAAUUCAAAGGAGUUUUUGAUCAUCAUAAAAAANGGGGAGAAUGUUAGGAAAACGAUGAAGAUGAAGUUUUGAUGAUGUCCGAAAUCAAGUCAAGAGAAAUGAUGAUUCAAGAAGAUCCUUUAAAGACUUGUUUUGCAAUGGAAAGNAACGAUGAAGAUGAAGUUUUGAUGAUGUCCGAAAUCAAGUCAAGAGAAAUGAUGAUUCAAGAAGAUCCUUUAAAGACUUGUUUUGCAAUGGAAAGAUUUUAUAAUAAUUGUAGUUUAUUGUCUAGGACUUAGAUUUUCAUUGGUUUUGAUUCCAUGUACUUUCAUACUUUGUAAUUGAUGUUAAGAGUCAAAAUUGCACUGUUUUAAUCGAUUAAAACAUAAUAUUAAUC